This 367-nucleotide ribosomal RNA is filed under the name marine sediment bacterium BB0608_AND_1.2_6S0. Its description in RNAcentral is "bacterial SSU rRNA". It matches the Rfam family "Bacterial small subunit ribosomal RNA", at positions 75 to 443 of the family's 1533-position model. The record is from RNAcentral.
GGUGCUUGCACCCCGCUGACGAGCGGCGGACGGGUGAGUAAUGCAUAGGAAACUGCCCAGUAGUGGGGGAUAGCCCGGGGAAACCCGGAUUAAUACCGCGUACGCCCUUCGGGGGAAAGCAGGGGAUCUUCGGACCUUGCGCUAUUGGAUGUGCCUAUGUCGGAUUAGCUAGUUGGUGGGGUAAAGGCCUACCAAGGCGACGAUCCGUAGCUGGUCUGAGAGGAUGAUCAGCCACAUCGGGACUGAGACACGGCCCGAACUCCUACGGGAGGCAGCAGUGGGGAAUAUUGGACAAUGGGGGCAACCCUGAUCCAGCCAUGCCGCGUGUGUGAAGAAGGCUUUCGGGUUGUAAAGCACUUUCAGUGAG